This 427-nucleotide long non-coding RNA is filed under the name Hordeum vulgare. RNAcentral's name for it is "long non-coding RNA (HVUL_LNC018003)". The record is from RNAcentral. Lineage: Eukaryota; Viridiplantae; Streptophyta; Magnoliopsida; Poales; Poaceae.
ACUAGGGGAUGUGCUUGUUGCCACCAGGGAGAAAACAACGGUGUUUGUGACCACGGUUGCAAGGAUUGUUUACCUUACGCAUAGUUUGUUAAUGUAGUUGUCUGUUCCUUUGAGUUUACACUUUGGGUGGGGCUCGCCACUUAAUACCGGAGAGAUGUUCUGGAUAGAUAUCCCAAGGUGGAUGAUUAGUAAGUAGAUGCUGAUGAAUAAAUGGUUUACUUGUCUUCGCGUACUGCCCAUUACUAUUGAACCUCUAACUAUCAAGGAGCAUAAUUAGCAUUGCAGUGCGAUCAUAAUUCUGUCAAUUGCCCGACUGUAAUUUUUUUACCCUAGCAUAGUUGUUUAUCGUCUUUUGGGAGAGAAACAUCACUAGUGAACAUCAUGUGACUCCGGUCCAUAUCACCAUCAUUGUUUACACCUCCAUCAU